UCCCCACGGUGGGGAACAGCGUGGUGGGAAAGCGGAACGUUUACGAGACGAUAGAUUUAAGAAUGGCGCAGAGGUGCCGUUUCAAAACACAGAAUCAUUACCAAGGGAAUAAAACCACGUAUCAAAGGAAUAGAAAAUGGCAAAAGAGAGAAGACACGCGUGAAAUAAAAGAUGCACACACAAAAAUCGAAAAUGUUUGGAGAGUUUUGAGUAAAAUUAAGUCGGUAUUUGCCUUUUAAAAAAAUUGAAGGGGGAAAAUUAUUGUAGAAUGAAGAGCAGGCUUGUGUUGAUAUAGGUAAUAUUUUGUAGCUUCAGUUACAUGCCCUCUUAACAUUAAAAAAAGUCAGUAAUUUCAUUUAACUGAGCAAUCAACAAGAAUUAGAGACUUGGAAAUGACAAACAAAUGAAAGAAGGAAAGCAUCCAGAAAAGAAGAUAAGUUUAAUGGACAUGAUUUAUUGUAGGAGACAUGACCUCAUUCCUCAUUAGAGGGAUGGAGGGAUUUCCACUAAACCAGAUUUGAUGUUAAAUAAAUUUAUUAUACAGAUGAUACUAAUUUGAUUUGUCCCUCUCUUUUUUUGGUAUUAUAAAGCGAAGAGAAACAAGGAAAUUGUUAAAAAUAUUGUAGCAGCUUCCUCAGAUGACAACUGUUCCCAGGCUCCUCACUCUCACCCAUCAUAAAAAAGCAGCAAUCAGCGUAAAGAAUAGCUCUCUCCAGAAGCGAAACAGAAAGUCAAGCAUCCCUAUCACCUGUUUUUUUAAAGAAGCACCUGGCUUUUCCACCAUCUUGGACCCUGUGGAGGCCUGCUGGGAACGGGUCUCCGGAACCAGAGGAAGCACACAGCUCUUCUUAAAAUUGAAGGUGUUUACGCUCGAGAUGAAACAGAAUUCUGUCUAGGCAAGAGAUGUGCUUAUGUGUACAAAGCAAAGAACACCACAGUGACUCCUGGUGGCAAACCGAACAAAACCAGAGUCAUCUGGGAAAGGAAACUCAUGCUCAUGGAAACAGUGGCAUGGUUCGUGCUAAAUUCCGAAGCAACCUUCCUGCUAAGGCUAGGGGACACAGAAUCCGUGUAAUGUUGUACCCCUCAAGGGUUUAAACUUAACGGAAAAUAAAUAAAAUGGAUUUGUUAGAUAAAUAAAUAAGAAGCAUCUCUCAAAUUUGCAUCUACUGUUCUUUUUUAAACAUGGUAUGUACAUGGACAGAAGCACAAGGCUAAGUCCUC
Myotis lucifugus (little brown bat) is the source of this 1224-nucleotide long non-coding RNA. RefSeq lists it as uncharacterized. Lineage: Eukaryota; Metazoa; Chordata; Mammalia; Chiroptera; Vespertilionidae. The transcript has 3 exons. The record is from RefSeq and is a predicted model, not a curated record.